AUUGAACGCUGGCGGCAGGCCUAACACAUGCAAGUCGAGCGGAUGAAGGGAGAUUGCUCCUGGUUUCAGCGGCGGACGGGUGAGUAAUGCCUAGGAAUCUGCCUGGUAGUGGGGGCUAACGUCAGGAAACGGGCGCUAAUACCGCAUACGUCCUGAGGGCGUAAGUGGGGGAUCUUCGGACCUUCCGCUAUCAGAUGAGCGUAGGUCGGAUUAGCUAGUUGGUGGGGUAAAGGCCUACCAAGGCGACGAUCCGUAACUGGUCUGAGAGGAUGAUCAGUCACACUGGAACUGAGACACGGUCCAGACUCCUACGGGAGGCAGCAGUGGGGAAUAUUGGACAAUGGGCGAAAGCCUGAUCCAGCCAUGCCGCGUGUGUGAAGAAGGUCUUCGGAUUGUAAAGCACUUUAGGUUGGGAGGAAGAGCAGUAAGUUAAUACCUUGCUGUUUUGACGUUACCAACAGAAUAAGCACCGGCUAACUUCGUG
RNAcentral lists this ribosomal RNA (484 nucleotides) under uncultured bacterium. RNAcentral's name for it is "partial 16S ribosomal RNA". It matches the Rfam family "Bacterial small subunit ribosomal RNA", at positions 30 to 507 of the family's 1533-position model. The record is from RNAcentral.